GGUUCCAUAGUGUAGCAGUUAGCACAUCUGCUUUACACACAGAAGGUCCUGGCCCCAAUGGAGCCA
Molecule: transfer RNA, 66 nt
Filed under: Pteropus alecto (black flying fox)
Lineage: Eukaryota; Metazoa; Chordata; Mammalia; Chiroptera; Pteropodidae
Also listed under: 1 other name
Rfam family: tRNA
About the family: Transfer RNA (tRNA) molecules are approximately 80 nucleotides in length. Their secondary structure includes four short double-helical elements and three loops (D, anti-codon, and T loops).
Source: Rfam by way of RNAcentral